AGAAAUUUAGGAGCACACAGAGAAAUUUAGGAGCACACAAAGAAAUUUAGGAGCACACAAAGAAAUUUAGGAGCACAGUGAAAAGUGUUCAAGUAACACAGAGUUUACUAACUAACAAUUUAUUCCAUACAUAUUUAUACUGCGUGUGUAUUAAGGGACACACAUCUGUGCAACAGAACAUACCACCAAAAUCACACAUUGACCCAUGACCCAUGACCCAUGGCUACUAGACGCGAAGGAUAUCAGAUGUCCAGCUGCUUUUGUAUGUUGGCCGUCUGACACGCUUAGGGGUUGGCCGUCUGACACGCUUAGGGGUCGGCCGUCUGACACGCUUAGAGGUCAGCCAGCGGUCCACGGCAGGAGUGGGAUCCAACUCCUCGACAGAAGGCCCCUCCAGGCUGAUCCUCAUCAGGUCUUCGGUGGUGGAGAUCACAAGGCAGUUCCUUGUUGAAUUAUUAAUAUCAGGUUCUGCUCAGAGAAGCCUCACUCUUUGGUGCCGAAACCCGAGAUAUGAGCUGUGACGAAGAAGAAGUGGCUGAACUGGCUGAGGAGGAACGUCGGCCUGAAGCAGAUAGAAUGAGACGAAAGCGGGGUUGAUUGUGGCUGACUUUCCGACCGCAUCUUACCUGCAUUGCUCUGUAGAAUCUAAAGUUGUUAAAUGUAACGUAAACAAGUAUUCUUACUAAAAGAAGCUUUCGUAUCAAAACCGACGUCCCGAGUCAUUACUAAGAAGUUAGUUCAUCUAAAACACUCACACCGGGAGGCUGAAAAUGGGCAGCACCAGCAUAAUCUGCACCAACUCCAGUAUGUUGUAGGGAAAAGAUAAUAUCUUUCCAUUUCAUUUAAACUCUUACCAUUUAAACUUAUCAAAACCAAACAUAGGAUGCCUUACAUAACCACUCAGGACUGUUAGUCGACCUUGUGAUCGUGCCUGUAGGGAUCCUUUGUCAACAUGGUCUCCCCACAGGCCACUGUAGGACUUGUCCUUGUGAUCGUGCCUGUAGUGGUCCUUUGUCAACAUGGUCUCCCCACAGGCCACUGUAGGACUUGUCCUUGACAUUGUGGCUGACCAGGAUUUUCAGUCCCUUGCCACUCAUCCUGGAUUACAGCCAUGUUGCACCCCGAUCUGCAGGGUUGAACAGAGCAAGUGAGUUUGCAAAAAUAUGCAGUUUGCAAACAUAACAUCGUCUCAGAUGGAUGAUGAGCUGUGCCUGGUUUUCUUCAGACAUAGCAUUUUUGCGUUCAGGCCAAAGAGUUACAUUUAGUCUCAUCAGACCACAGAAUAUUUUGUCUUUAUGCCCUUUAGUCUUUCACGUGCCUUUUUA
Molecule: long non-coding RNA, 1325 nt
Organism: Oncorhynchus tshawytscha (Chinook salmon)
Lineage: Eukaryota; Metazoa; Chordata; Actinopteri; Salmoniformes; Salmonidae
Source: Ensembl